RNAcentral lists this unclassified non-coding RNA (234 nucleotides) under air metagenome. RNAcentral describes it as "partial contains small subunit ribosomal RNA, internal transcribed spacer 1, and 5.8S ribosomal RNA". The stretch from base 1 to 46 matches the Rfam family "Eukaryotic small subunit ribosomal RNA", at positions 1786 to 1831 of the family's 1831-position model. The record is from RNAcentral.
AAGUCGUAACAAGGUUUCCGUAGGUGAACCUGCGGAAGGAUCAUUACAGAGAACAUCGCCCUCACGGGUGACUCUCCAACCCUUUGUUAUUAUACCUUUGUUGCUUUGGCGAGCCGCCUCGGCCACCGGCUCACGCUGGUGAGUGCUCGCCAGAGGACCCCAAACUCUGAAUAUUAGUGUCGUCCGAGUAUUAUAUAAUAGUUAAAACUUUCAACAACGGAUCUCUUGGUUCUG